AGGGGAAUUGCCCAUUCUAGCAGGGAACUUAAGUUCCAGUAAACAUUGACACAUUGGACUGGAGUGCUCUGGGGCUAAGUAAACUAGAAAGGCAGUCUAGGUCACAAGGACUGUAACUCCUAGGCAAGUCCUAGUGCUAAACUGGGCUCAGAGUCAGUUAACUGGGGUGAGGUGGACACAACCUACUGAAACACCAGCUGUGGUAUCUAGGGGAGGGAUGGCACCACUCCCCACCUAAACCCCAGGCUGCACAGCUGAUGGCUCCAAAAGAGACUCCUUCCUUUCACUUGAGAAGAGGAGAGGGAAGACUGGGGAAGACUUUGUAUUCCAGCGCAGCCACAGCAGAAUGUGGCACUGGUUAGAGUGGUGAGGUCCUUUUUUCAGGCCCCUAGAUCUUGGAUAAUAAUUCUAGACAUACUCUGGACCACAGGGGAACCUGCUGCUUUGAAGGGAAGCAUCCAGUCAUGGCAGAAUACAUCACCUGCUAGCUGAAGAUCCUUGGGCCCUGAAUAACCAGCAGCAAUACUCAUGGAUGAUUUCAGAGAAGGCUAACGGUGUCAACAGAGAUUAAAGAGGGAAGCCUGGACUUCAAUCUCCAAUUGGCAGUAACAAGGCAGCACCUCCCUCUUUCCCUGCUGGAGUAGUGAAAAUCAGGUGCACAAUGGCUACUGAAUAUGCAGGCAUUAUUUUCACCAUAAAAACAAUAAGGAUUUGAAGGAAGCUAUCUACCAUGCCUGUAUCUUUUUCAGGAGUGCAAAAUUUCUCAAAGAAAAUCCUUGUCCCUAAACAUCAUGAAACAUUCCCCUGGACAUAAUGAUUGACGUGGCUGAUGGUUUGGAAAGGGAGCUUAAAAAAUUGACUAUAUGCCAAACAGAGCAAAACCAUGACUGAAAUACUAAAUACAUGUUAAAUGUCCUAAUUGAAGAAACAAUGCAAUCCCUAUAAUUUUGAGACACUUUAGCCAAAAUAUCUAAAGAGGUGGAAACAGUUUUUCUUCUUCCCUUCUUUCAUUUUGUUCUCAAUAAACAUUUAAUGAAAGCAUUUUACACAAUAGAAUGGAUACUUAAUAUAUUAAUUUGAAGUCAUUAAAAUUAUUGUAAAGUUAAUAUGUUCCCUUCCUAAAGCUUGCAUAGUCUGUUUUCACACUGCUAUAAAGAACUACCAGAGACUCAGUAAUUUAUGAAGAAAAUAUGAAGAAAAGAGGUUUAAUUGGACAGGCUGUUAAGGCAGCAUGACUGGGAGGACUCAGGAAACUUAUAAUCAUGGUAAAGUUGAAGGGGAAGCAAGCAUGUCUUACCACAGUGGAGCAGGAGAGAGAGAGAGAAAAGGGGGAGGGGCCAAACACUUUUAAAUGAUAAUAUCUCAUGAGAUCAACAAGGUGGAAAUCUGUCCCCAUGAUCCAAUCACCUCCCACUAGACCCCUCCUCUGACAUAUGGAGAUUACAAGUCUAUAUGAGGCUUGGGUGGGGACACGGAGCCAAACCAUUAUCAGCUGGUGCACUGUCAUAAAGACAUCAUAUAAAGAGCUCAGAAUGGGAAUAAUUAGGCUUCUAUUAGCCAUCAGUUUCAGGGGACAAACACUGAUGUUUAAGAUGCUCUAAGGUAAAAGCUGCUCCAAAUGUGGGAAGCCCAAUAAGAAGAGUCCUCCACGUAAGUUUACCUAUAGUUCACCCAAACACAUGAGCAUUUAACUAUGAAGCAAUUUGUACUUGAAUAUGAACAAGAGUUUUUUCAUAUCUAUAUGUAUUAUUUUACAGAUAACUACACACACAUAUUAUCAAUAGCUAUAUCUGUCUAGACCUAGAUAUAGAUAUAUCUGCAUGUGUAUGUAAUUAUUUGAAAAAUAAUUGAAUGCAAUCUAUGGCAUCUUCUACCUUCAAGGGAGUGACAACACUUAGAUAGAUUAUAUUAUUUAGGAAAACACCCUGAUGGAACUUUUCAGUGAAGAGAAAUGAUGCCUUCUGGACAUAUCCUAAAUGAAUGGAAUAAGGAAGAGAGAUCUGAAUUAUUUUGUACAAUAAAAAAGAGAAUAAUCAUUCAUGUUCUUGCAAAACUAUGAGCGUCCAGGCAGCUAGCAAGAGAGAAUAGAUUUGCAAAAAUUUUAGAAAGAUAAGGGACCUAUGAAAAUAGCAAUUGAUCAAGAUCUAAGAAAAGAGUGGAGUCAGUGAGCACCUGUGUAAGGAGAGGGGGGCGGGGAUAUUGGUAUCCAAUAGUAAUUAUUACGUUGCAUUUUGGCUUGCUUGGGGUUUUGUUUUCUUUUGUUUUGUUGAUGCUAUGCUUGCAUGUAAAUAGUCAUUCACCUCUAGAUAAUCAAUAAAGGUCAUCCAACUAUAAUUACUUUGUUAAUAGUAUUAUGAAGAGUUUAAAGAUAGUAUAGGACAAGGAAGUGGAACCUUUUAUACUUCAACCUUACACUAAGGUCUUUGUAGCAUUGCCACCAUUGUCCUUCAGGGGACAAUUAUUUUAACAUUUCUGGUGGGGACAACAGUACAGUUGGGGGUCCAAGGCAGAGGUGAGGGCUUCUUGAAGGAGUCAAGAAGCCUGGCAAAUGCAAUGUACAUUGACUCUAGUGUGGCCUAAAGAGAAGCCUUAUGGCUCCAACUAUAUUCAUGGCAGGUGACAUUUGAACAAGGAAGGCUGGAAUGAAGAGAGAGGUUAGGUACGUGGUGGAUUACCCAGAGGUCAGUCUUUUUUCAUUAGCCUUCUGCAAUGCUUCCAGUCACAGCUUAAACUAGUGGUUGGCCUGUGGUUUCCUGGUACACGCCUUUCAGUGCACUGUUUUUUCUCAGCCCUUUUUCUUGCUGGAUGCUACAAUUACAUUUGACUUUACGUCUCCCUCAAAUCAGCAUAAAGUAAAUAGAUAUUUCUACUUCAUUUGUCCCUAGAUCCAUAUUUAAAUUAUGUAAGUAAUGGUAUACAGGUGAUUACGAAUUUAAAAGUUCUGAGAUGUCUGGUCAUGGUAUAGGCUAAGAGAAGCCUUAAAAAAAUCUAAUCUCAGGUGGGAAGUUUUUAAUAAUGCUUCUUUUGUCCCUUAUACCUCUUACUAUAACUGUGAGCUGGAGAAAUAGCUCACUUUCUUGCCUGUAACGGAAGCAUUAAUAACCAGCAGACAAGAAUUAAAAAAUGAAUGGUUUAUGUCUUCCCAAGUAGAUUAUCAAUCCUCUGAACAACUGAAUUUACAUGAAAGUAAGCAGUGAUUUUCUACUUUUCUUCAGUAGGCUGACACAUAAAAAAUAAUUUGAUUACUGACCUGUGCAGACAAUUCAUGAAUACUAAUUGAAAACUCAUUUGGUGUUUCCUGAAAAAUUAAAGAAAAACAACAGAUAUGUUUUCUUCCUCCAAAAUGGCCUGAUGUAGAAGUGCAACAUUUCCUCAAAACUACAGUCAUCCACCUACUUGCAAAGUAACAAUUUUUUCUGCUUGGAAUAUUUUCUGAUGAUGCAACAGAUUCUAUGUAAUUCACAAGAAAUAAAUCAGAAAUGCUUCAAAAAUGCUGAUGUGCAAAAAGAAUGUUCUUAAGAUAUUUCUUGAAGAAAAAUGUAGAAACCAAUCAGC
This 3555-nucleotide long non-coding RNA is filed under the name Homo sapiens (human). RNAcentral describes it as "HSALNT0031920". The record is from RNAcentral. Lineage: Eukaryota; Metazoa; Chordata; Mammalia; Primates; Hominidae.